Non-coding RNA from Nothobranchius furzeri (turquoise killifish), 471 nucleotides. Lineage: Eukaryota; Metazoa; Chordata; Actinopteri; Cyprinodontiformes; Nothobranchiidae. The record is from RefSeq and is a predicted model, not a curated record.
CUUGAAAACUGUUAGGUUAAGGACUUUUUGUGAUACAUGAACGUCAUUUUAGUUAGAAAUGUAACAGUAAAAGUGCUUGUAUUGCGGUCUCGGCUCGUAUGUUCGGCCGCUCGGUGUCGUACUUCUCCCGCUACGUUUCCCCCUGAUUUUAAUAGAAGUUUGUAUUUUAGGAACAAAAGAGAAAACCAGGGAAUUUAUUAAGCUUAGGGCGGAGAUGGACCACAUGAUCACCGGAGCAAAGUAUUCGGCGGCUGUGGCAUGGAGACUAUUCUGGAGAAAAUGGGCAUCCAGGGGAAGGUGCCAGCGAUGACCAGCUUCUGGAUCUGAUCAGGGAGGACAUGAGGCAGCAGAGGGCCCAGGAGAGAAGGACGAACUUUGACAGCUUUUUACUUUGCUAGAAAAAAAUGGUUAAGGAAGAUUAAACAUGUACAUAUAAAAGAAAUAUCUAAAUAAAAUCAGUUCUGCAUUAAA